This 497-nucleotide ribosomal RNA is filed under the name uncultured bacterium. RNAcentral describes it as "partial 16S ribosomal RNA". It matches the Rfam family "Bacterial small subunit ribosomal RNA", at positions 28 to 507 of the family's 1533-position model. The record is from RNAcentral.
GAUGAACGCUGGCGGCGUGCCUAAUACAUGCAAGUCGAGCGAACAGACGAGGAGCUUGCUCCUCUGACGUUAGCGGCGGACGGGUGAGUAACACGUGGAUAACCUCCCUAUAAGACUGGGAUCACUUCGGGAAACCGGAGCUAAUACCGGAUAAUCUAUUGAACCGCAUGGUUCAAUAGUGAAAGACGGUUUUGCUGUCACUUAUAGAUGGAUCCGCGCCGCAUUAGCUAGUUGGUAAGGUAACGGCUUACCAAGGCAACGAUGCGUAGCCGACCUGAGGGGGUGAUCGGCCGCACUGGAACUGGGACACGGUCCAGACGCCUACGGGAGGCAGCAGUAGGGAAUCUUUCGCAAUUGUCGAAAGCCUGGCGGAGCAACGCCGCGUGAGUGAUGAAGGUGUUCGGAUCGUAAAACUCUGUUAUUGGGGAAGACCAAAUGUGUAAUGAAAUAUGCAGGGCUUGACGGUACGUAAUCAGAAAGCCACGGCUAACUACGUG